GGCCAGACUCCUACGGGAGGCAGCAGUGGGGAAUAUUGCACAAUGGGGGAAACCCUGAUGCAGCGACGCCGCGUGAGUGAAGAAGUAUUUCGGUAUGUAAAGCUCUAUCAGCAGGGAAGAAGAAGGACGGUACCUGAGUAAGAAGCCCCGGCUAACCACGUGCCAGCAGCCGCGGUAAUACGUAGGGGGCAAGCGUUAUCCGGAUUUACUGGGUGUAAAGGGGGCGCAGACGGCGAUGCAAGCCAGGAGUGAAAGCCCGGGGCCCAACCCCGGGACUGCUCUUGGAACUGCGUGGCUGGAGUGCAGGAGGGGCAGGCGGAAUUCCUGGUGUAGCGGUGAAAUGCGUAGAUAUCAGGAGGAACACCGGUGGCGAAGGCGGCCUGCUGGACUGCAACUGACGCUGAGGCGCGAAAGCGUGGGGAGCAAACAGGAUUAGAUACCCGAGUAC
This 448-nucleotide ribosomal RNA is filed under the name uncultured bacterium. Its description in RNAcentral is "bacterial SSU rRNA". It matches the Rfam family "Bacterial small subunit ribosomal RNA", at positions 329 to 793 of the family's 1533-position model. The record is from RNAcentral.